GUCCACACAGUAAACGAUGAAUACUCGCUGUUUGCGAUAUACAGUAAGCGGCCAAGCGAAAGCAUUAAGUAUUCCACCUGGGGAGUACGCCGGCAACGGUGAAACUCAAAGGAAUUGACGGGGGGCCCGCACAAGCGGAGGAACAUGUGGUUUAAUUCGAUGAUACGCGAGGAACCUUACCCGGGCUUAAAUUGCAUUUUGAAUAAUCUGGAAACGGUUAGCCGCAAGGCAAAUGUGAAGGUGCUGCAUGGUUGUCGU
RNAcentral lists this ribosomal RNA (258 nucleotides) under uncultured bacterium. Its description in RNAcentral is "partial 16S ribosomal RNA". It matches the Rfam family "Bacterial small subunit ribosomal RNA", at positions 793 to 1055 of the family's 1533-position model. The record is from RNAcentral.